AUCAAAUUAGCAAAAUUAAAUGCAAUUGAUUUAGGAUCAAUAGAUUAUAGGUGAAACCCCUUUAUUUGAUA
RNAcentral lists this transfer RNA (71 nucleotides) under Penion maximus. RNAcentral describes it as "tRNA-Leu". It matches the Rfam family "tRNA". Rfam says of the family: Transfer RNA (tRNA) molecules are approximately 80 nucleotides in length. Their secondary structure includes four short double-helical elements and three loops (D, anti-codon, and T loops). The record is from RNAcentral. Lineage: Eukaryota; Metazoa; Mollusca; Gastropoda; Neogastropoda; Buccinidae.